UUUGCGACUGUUAAUCUGCUUU
RNAcentral lists this microRNA (22 nucleotides) under Panagrellus redivivus. RNAcentral's name for it is "prd-miR-7933-3p". The record is from miRBase by way of RNAcentral. Lineage: Eukaryota; Metazoa; Nematoda; Chromadorea; Rhabditida; Panagrolaimidae.